UAUAAAUGCAUAAUUUUUGUAAUUUUAUAUUUCCUAGAUUUUUAAACCAAUAAUAUUUUAAGAAAUGUAAUUAACGUUCUUGAACUUCACAACUUCUAAUUAUUAGUUGACAAAAAUUACAUUGAAAAUAUCAAAUAUGUAUCUUUUUGAAACAAAAGUUUUCUCUAGAAUAUGGAUCUUUUAGGAACGGAUGGAGUAUAAAAUAGAAAUAAACCAUUGAUAAAACACUCAUAUAUACAAACUGAUUUUUGGUUGUUGAAAAAAUUGGUAAAUUAAAUAUUAAAUUAUGUUCUACUGUAAGUAGAUUUCGUCUUCUACAGAAAAUGUGUUAGAAAUUGAAUUUCAGAUUAAACAAGUUCAUCUAUUAUUUUUAGAACGAACAAUCAGCUUUUAAUUAAAUUUCUAAAUAUGGAGAAUGCAAAUUCUACUAAUUGUAAAGUUAUUUAUUUUUUCUCAGAAUACACUUUUUACUUUUAUAAGAGCAUGUUUAAUGCGAGCUCCUAACCGCGUUUCUUAGUGUAAUUAACCCCAAAAAUAAAAGAAAAAACGAAUUAAUGCGAAGGCACAUCUCCUAAUUUAAAGCUCGAAGGCACGGUUCUUAGCUGCGACGAGUCACCAUGGUAUUGGCUAGAGGAACGGUGGAGUCAAUUUUGUUUCUUUCUUUCUUUUCUUUCUCUCUUCGGUUCAUCUCCGAAGGCGACGAAAAUGGCGAUUUCUCGCCCUGUCGGUGGCUCUUGUCGACGCCUCUAUGGGUGUAUCUUGUCGACGAUGGAAAACGGCAAACUCUCAACCGGUGGCUAUCCUCGACGAAGGAAACGGUGAUUUCUCUCUCUGUCGGUGUUCUCCUCGAUGAAACGGCUCUCUGAGACGAAGAAAACCGGCGAUUGUUUCUCAAGGGAAUCGAAAGGUAAAGUGUGUCUUUGAUUCUUUCAACUAUGCAUGUCUUUGAUUGUGCUCUUUCUUGUUCGUGAACCGUAGUAAAUUGAAAAACUCUAAUCUUUUUUUUUAAAUUUGGUUCUGUCUUUGUAUCGUUACAUGGAUGGAUCAAGAAGCAUGAUCCUGGCAUGAUCCAGGAUCGUAUGAAGCUGCAACAAAAGGCCAACGAUUCUUCAUACAGGUCUUGUACUCACGAGAGUGGAGCAUUGUCUUCCUGUUGAGAGGUCAAGAGAGAGAGGUCAGGUCUUGUAUUCGCAUAUCAGGAUCAGUCUCUCUUAAAAGAACGUCAAGAAUGUGACGAGAAAUGUAUGUGUGCUGUGUUUUAGUCUUUUGUGUGUUGUACUCUCGUGUGUGUACAGGUAUGUGUUGUAGUAUUUUGUGUGUACAGGUCUUGUAUUCACAUGUAUCUGGGUCUGUGUUGUAGUCUUCUGUGUGUUGUACUCUUGUGUAUGACUUGUAAUUGAAAAGAGUUAUCACGAGAAAUAUUGGUGUUGUUGUAGUCUUGUGUCACAGACACACUUGUACUUCACAAGAAUUAUCACAAACACACUUUAAAAAUCAGAAACAAGAAUUAUCACAAACUCUCUAUUCUCUUUCUCACAUUCCUCCUAUUCUCUCCAUUCUCUUUCUCUUUUAUCCCAAAUUCUUCUUUCCAUUCGCUUUCUAUAUCUGAAACAAUUUAUAAUUUGUAAACAAGAAUCUAAAACAAACCUCUCAUGGCAUCUUCUUCUAGUCACAAUUUGGAGGGCUCAAUUGAUGAAACGUUAUUUUGAUCAACAUCAUCAAAAAUUUAAGAAUCUGCGCAACGUUUAUGGUGGGUGAUCAAGAAGAUGAAGAGAAGACAAGGAAAAACAUAGUUUUUAUCGAAAUAAAUCGUGAAGAAGGUCAUCUCCGUUUAUGGAAUCAUUAUUUCAAUGACACUCCAACAUAUCCUGAAAAUCUAUUCCGACAACGAUUUAGAAUGAACAAGCCAUUGCUCAUGCAUAUUGUUGAUCGGCUCGGCAAUGAAGUUCAAUUCUUUCGUCAAAAGAAAGACGGUGUCGGAAGGCUUGGUCUCUCUAUACUUCAAAAGUGUACAGCAGCUAUUUGUGUGUUGGCAUAUGGUUCAACGCUUGAUACAGUCGACGAAUACCUCUGGCCCAGUGCAACUACUACUUGGUUAUGUCUGGAAAAUUUUGUGGAAGCAAUAAUAAAUAUGUUCGGCGAUGAGUACCUAAGAAGACCAACACCGGAUUUAUCUUCAGCGUCUACUUCAUAUUGGAGAGCUUCGUGGAUUUCCCGGGAUGAUAGGAAGCAUCGAUUGUAUGCAUUGGGAGUGGAAGAAUUGUCCCACCGCUUGGAAAGGUCAAUAUUCUCGUGGUUCGGGAAAACCCACAAUCGUUUUAGAAGCGGUUGCUUUAUAUGAUCUUUGGAUAUGGCAUGCGUUUUUCGGACCUUCAGGUACCUUAAAUGAUAUCAAUGUUCUUGAUCGCUCACCUAUUUUUGAUGACAUAAUAAAUGUCCAAGCUCCGCAAGUGAAUUUCUCGGUCAAUGGAAGAGAGUAUCAUUUGGCUUACUAUCUCACCGAUGGUAUUUAUCAGAAAUGGGCCAUUUUUAGACAAUCUAUUCCAAUACCACAAGGCCCGAAAGCAGUUUUAUUUGCUCAACGUCAAGAAGUUGUCCGAAAAGAUGUCGAACGUGCUUUCAGAGUCUUGCAAGCUCGAUUUCCCAUUGUUAAAAAUCCGGCACUUUGUUGGGAUAAAAUCAAGAUUGGAAAUAUUAUGAGAGCAUAUAUCAUACUCCAUAAUAUGAUAGUAGAAGACGAACGAGAUGAAUACACUCAAUUUGAUGUUUCAGAUUUCCAACAAGGAGAAGGCAACGGAAGUUCACAUGUGGAUCUCACGUAUUCUACAUAUAUGCCUAUGAAUAUCGCCAUUAUGAUGGGUGUUCGAACUAGAAUUCGUGAUAGACAAGAGCAUCAACAACUGAAAUCUGAUUUGGUUUAAAAUAUAUGGUGUCAAUUUGGACGUAAUCAAGACAACAACUGAGCUUCGAUGCCUCUUUCAAAUUAUUAUUGUUUAUUUUAGUAAUCUUUGUUUUUGUGUUAUUACUUUAAAUUAUAUGUUUAAAAUGUAAUGUUUGACUUUUUUUAUUUAAUAAAUAAAAUUAAUCUUCAAAAAAAAAAUGUUUACUAAUUUUUUUUUAAGAACCCUUAACUAAGAAACUUCCAUUGGAGCAGCAAAAUUAAGUGUCUCUUAACAAAAGUUCUUAACUUAACUUUUUUUUUUUACAACAAAAGGCUAAAAAGUAAUGUGAUUCCUGAUCCAAGAGCCACCUUGGGGGAAUUUAGUCAACAUAAACCAUAGCAGAAGGCUGAUUCCUAGCACCUCGUGCCAACUUAUCCGCCAUUAUGUUUUGUGCCCUCAGAAUAUGUUGAAUAGUAAAGGGGUGAAAAAAUUCCUUACAUCGCAGAAACUCUUCCAUGUGUAUAGUGAACGCCGGCCAUUUUGUAGGUGUAGGCACCAUCUGCACCAGUUGAGAGCAGUCAGUUGCAAACACCACUUCUGAGAUUUGUAGGAUCUUCAUGCACUUCAUCGCCCAUAUCAAAGCUUCACAUCCAGCAUGUAAAGGUGAUAGACUCUUGCGAAUAGCCAUUGCACCCAUCAUAAUAUCAGUUGAUCCACCUUUUUUGUAAACACAUCCUUGUCCUGUACAAGAAUCAUGUUCCCUCCAUGCCCCAUCAAUGUAACACUUACAUAUCGCCAAAGCAUCACGGUUCUCCACAAUACAUGGGGGAGCCUGAUUUAUUAAAUUUUUGGUCCGAGAUUCAGCCCACAAAACACUUUCAAUUUCCGUAGUCCGGAGAAGAUCUAAAGGAUCUCUUAUCUUGUUUUUAAAAAUCUUAGCAUUCCGAUUCUUCCAGAUAUACCAUAAAAUCCAUGGAAAAUAGCUCAAAUCUAAUUCUUUUGGUGUCCGCGAAAAGAGAUAGUCCAUGUUUGUAAAAAGAGAUGGGAUCGGAGCAUGAUGGGAUAUUAGAUAAAGUCCAAAUUUGAAGUGCUAAUGGACAUUCAAAAAACAGAUGAUUAAUAGAUUCUUCUUCAGCCCCACACAUUUGACAUUGCAUAUCACAUUUGAUUCCCCAUGAGUGAAGAUUCAUGUACACCGAUAAACAACCAGAAAUUAUUUGCCAAACAAAAUGUUUCAAUUUUGGUGAGCAUUGUAACUUCCAAGAGUGCGCAAUAAUGGUUUUGUAUCUGGUCCCAUAUCCCUAUACUGAGUACCUUUAUCAGGAUAUAAUUUCUCUGUCCGAUAGCCUGAUUUUAUCGUAUAUCUACCAUGAUCCGUAAAAUGCCAGCCAUAUGAAUCUGGCUUAGGGUUACGACUAAUGGCUAAACUCCGUAUAAUACUCACAUUGUCCUGAUGGACAUAUGCGUCAAGUAAAUCCAGGUUCCAAGAAAGAUCAACUAGAUUAAUUAAAUCCUCCACUUUAAGUAAUGGAUUCAAGAAUUUAUUUGAAAAUUUUGGGAUUGCUGACCUCGGGUGAGGAGCGGAGAUCUAAGGAUCAUUCCAGACUGAAAUGGUUAAACCUAUUCCCACUCUUUUGAUUAGCCCUUUAUUAACUAGAGAUCUAGCUGAUGUGAUACUCCUCCACCCAUAUGAGGGAGAAUAUGAUCUGAUAGGAUCCAAAGGAUCUAACUUUCGGUAAUAUCUACCUUUAAAAACCCUUGCAAACAAAGAAUUUUGUUUGUCGAUUAAUCUUCACAACUGUUUUGCUAAUUAAGCCUUAUUAAACUUUACUAAGAAUCCAUUAACUUUACUAAUUAAACAUUUAUUAAGAAUCCAUUAUGGGUUUGCUCCAAUAAACAUGCUCUAAAGUAUUCUAAAUUCUCGAAAUGCAAAAUCUACACAAUACUCAAACGGCUACAAGAGCUAGAAUUUGCUUAUUGGAUUUUUUUUGGUUUUACGCAGUGUAGAAAAUAUUUUUACAGAUAAAAAAACAUGAUUUUGACGAAAAUUUGAAAAUUCCAGUUAAGAAAAAAUUCUAAAAAUAUUUGUAAUAUUCUAACUUCCCUAAAACGUAUGUAGGUCGAUUUACCUUGGAAAAUUGCCACAUAUACCACAUUCAUAGUACCACUUUUCAUGUUUACACUAAUUAUUUUUACCCUCAUUUUUAAUGAAGGGUAAAGACACUUAUACUCCUAGGGUUAACUAAUCUAGAUUUAGGGUUUAGAGUUGAGGGGUGGAGUAGAGUUUGUGGAAUGUGAAAUUUAGGAUUCUAAUAAAUAUAUAAAUAAAUA
Long non-coding RNA from Brassica rapa (field mustard), 5213 nucleotides. RefSeq lists it as uncharacterized. The record is from RefSeq and is a predicted model, not a curated record. NCBI's taxonomy places the organism in Eukaryota, Viridiplantae, Streptophyta, Magnoliopsida, Brassicales, Brassicaceae.